GGUGAACGCUGGCGGUAGGCCUAACACAUGCAAGUCGAACGGCAGCACAGUAAGAGCUUGCUCUUACGGGUGGCGAGUGGCGGACGGGUGAGGAAUACAUCGGAAUCUACUUUUUCGUGGGGGAUAACGUAGGGAAACUUACGCUAAUACCGCAUACGACCUACGGGUGAAAGCAGGGGAUCUUCGGACCUUGCGCGAUUGACUGAGCCGAUGUCGGAUUAGCUAGUUGGCGGGGUAAAGGCCCACCAAGGCGACGAUCCGUAGCUGGUCUGAGAGGAUGAUCAGCCACACUGGAACUGAGACACGGUCCAGACUCCUACGGGAGGCAGCAGUGGGGAAUAUUGGACAAUGGGCGCAAGCCUGAUCCAGCCAUACCGCGUGGGUGAAGAAGGCCUUCGGGUUGUAAAGCCCUUUUGUUGGGAAAGAAAAGCAGCAGGUUAAUACCCCGCUGUUCUGACGGUACCCAAAGAAUAAGCACCGGCUAACUUCGUG
RNAcentral lists this ribosomal RNA (492 nucleotides) under uncultured bacterium. RNAcentral describes it as "partial 16S ribosomal RNA". It matches the Rfam family "Bacterial small subunit ribosomal RNA", at positions 28 to 507 of the family's 1533-position model. The record is from RNAcentral.